CCUACGGGCGGCAGCAGUGAGGAAUAUUGGUCAAUGGACGAGAGUCUGAACCAGCCAAGUAGCGUGAAGGAUGACUGCCCUAUGGGUUGUAAACUUCUUUUAUAUGGGAAUAAAAUGUUCCACGUGUGGGAUUUUGUAUGUACCAUAUGAAUAAGGAUCGGCUAACUCCGUGCCAGCCACCGCGGUAAUACGGAGGAUCCGAGCGUUAUCCGGAUUUAUUGGGUUUAAAGGGAGCGUAGGUGGAUUGUUAAGUCAGUUGUGAAAGUUUGCGGCUCAACCGUAAAAUUGCAGUUGAAACUGGCAGUCUUGAGUACAGUAGAGGUGGGCGGAAUUCGUGGUGUAGCGGUGAAAUGCUUAGAUAUCACGAAGAACUCCGAUUGCGAAGGCAGCUCACUGGACUGCAACUGACACUGAGGCUCGAAAGUGUGGGUAUCAAACAGGAUUAGAUACCCCUGUAGUC
Molecule: ribosomal RNA, 460 nt
Filed under: uncultured bacterium
Lineage: Bacteria
Description: partial 16S ribosomal RNA
Rfam family: Bacterial small subunit ribosomal RNA
Source: RNAcentral